This 165-nucleotide ribosomal RNA is filed under the name Lithocarpus laoticus. Its description in RNAcentral is "5.8S ribosomal RNA". It matches the Rfam family "5.8S ribosomal RNA". Rfam says of the family: 5.8S ribosomal RNA (5.8S rRNA) is a component of the large subunit of the eukaryotic ribosome. It is transcribed by RNA polymerase I as part of the 45S precursor that also contains 18S and 28S rRNA. The record is from RNAcentral. Lineage: Eukaryota; Viridiplantae; Streptophyta; Magnoliopsida; Fagales; Fagaceae.
UCUCGGCAACGGAUAUCUAGGCUCUCGCAUCGAUGAAGAACGUAGCGAAAUGCGAUACUUGGUGUGAAUUGCAGAAUCCCGCGAAUCAUCGAGUUUUUGAACGCAAGUUGCGCCCGAAGCCACUCGGCCGAGGGCACGUCUGCCUGGGUGUCACGCACCGUCGCC